AGCACCUCUUUGGCCGCUGCCCAGAUUGUUGAUAUUGGCAAAACUCUGCCAUUGUUCAAGGAGCUUCAAACCUUAGGUGACAGGACUUGAAGAACCAUGCUCUGCAAAGUGUCUUGUUUCCAAUGUUGCAGGUCUCAUUUAAUUUGAGUUGAACCUUUAUCAUGAAUUUUACAUCUUUCAUUUGGAAG
Non-coding RNA from Arachis ipaensis, 188 nucleotides. The record is from RefSeq and is a predicted model, not a curated record. NCBI's taxonomy places the organism in Eukaryota, Viridiplantae, Streptophyta, Magnoliopsida, Fabales, Fabaceae.